GACGAACGCUGGCGGCGUGCUUAACACAUGCAAGUCGAACGGAAAGGCCUGCUUUCCCUUGUGGAUUGCGGGUACUCGAGUGGCGAACGGGUGGGUAACACGUGAGUGAUCUGCCCCCAACUUGGGUAUAAGCCUGGGAAACUGGGUCUAAUUCCCGAUAGGACUGCAGGGUGGUGCCUGUGGUGGAAAACGAUUUUCUAGUGGUUGGGGAUGAGCUCGCGGCCUAUCAGCUUGUUGGUGGGGUAAUGGCCUACCAAGGCGGCGACGGGUAGCCGGCCUGAGAGCGGGGACGGCCACAUUGAGACAGGGCGACGGCCCAGACGCCGACGAGAGGCAGCAGUGGGGAGUAUUGGACAAUGAGCGGAAGCCUGAUGCAGCGACGGCGCGUGGGAGAUGACGGGCUUCGGGUUGUAAACUCCUUGCGACCGAGAGGAAGCCACCUGGUUGGAAGGGUGGUGACGGUAGUGGUAGAAGAAGCACCGGCUAACUACGUG
Molecule: ribosomal RNA, 494 nt
Filed under: uncultured bacterium
Lineage: Bacteria
Description: partial 16S ribosomal RNA
Rfam family: Bacterial small subunit ribosomal RNA
Source: RNAcentral